RNAcentral lists this ribosomal RNA (2992 nucleotides) under Salmonella enterica subsp. enterica serovar Typhimurium. RNAcentral's name for it is "23S ribosomal RNA". It matches the Rfam family "Bacterial large subunit ribosomal RNA". Lineage: Bacteria; Pseudomonadati; Pseudomonadota; Gammaproteobacteria; Enterobacterales; Enterobacteriaceae. The record is from RNAcentral.
GGUUAAGCGACUAAGCGUACACGGUGGAUGCCCUGGCAGUCAGAGGCGAUGAAGGGCGUGCUAAUCUGCGAUAAGCGCCGGUAAGGUGAUAUGAACCGUUAUAACCGGCGAUACCCGAAUGGGGAAACCCAGUGUGAUUCGUCACACUAUCAUUAACUGAAUCCAUAGGUUAAUGAGGCGAACCGGGGGAACUGAAACAUCUAAGUACCCCGAGGAAAAGAAAUCAACCGAGAUUCCCCCAGUAGCGGCGAGCGAACGGGGAGGAGCCCAGAGCCUGAAUCAGCAUGUGUGUUAGUGGAAGCGUCUGGAAAGGCGCGCGAUACAGGGUGACAGCCCCGUACACAAAAGCGCAUGUGCUGUGAGCUCGAUGAGUAGGGCGGGACACGUGGUAUCCUGUCUGAAUAUGGGGGGACCAUCCUCCAAGGCUAAAUACUCCUGACUGACCGAUAGUGAACCAGUACCGUGAGGGAAAGGCGAAAAGAACCCCGGCGAGGGGAGUGAAAAAGAACCUGAAACCGUGUACGUACAAGCAGUGGGAGCACAGGUUUACCUGUGUGACUGCGUACCUUUUGUAUAAUGGGUCAGCGACUUAUAUUCUGUAGCAAGGUUAACCGUAUAGGGGAGCCGGAGGGAAACCGAGUCUUAAUUGGGCGUUAAGUUGCAGGGUAUAGACCCGAAACCCGGUGAUCUAGCCAUGGGCAGGUUGAAGGUUGGGUAACACUAACUGGAGGACCGAACCGACUAAUGUUGAAAAAUUAGCGGAUGACCUGUGGCUGGGGGUGAAAGGCCAAUCAAACCGGGAGAUAGCUGGUUCUCCCCGAAAGCUAUUUAGGUAGCGCCUCGUGAAUUCAUCUCCGGGGGUAGAGCACUGUUUCGGCUAGGGGGCCAUCCCGGCUUACCAACCCGAUGCAAACUGCGAAUACCGGAGAAUGUUAUCACGGGAGACACACGGCGGGUGCUAACGUCCGUCGUGAAGAGGGAAACAACCCAGACCGCCAGCUAAGGUCCCAAAGUCAUGGUUAAGUGGGAAACGAUGUGGGAAGGCCCAGACAGCCAGGAUGUUGGCUUAGAAGCAGCCAUCAUUUAAAGAAAGCGUAAUAGCUCACUGGUCGAGUCGGCCUGCGCGGAAGAUGUAACGGGGCUAAACCAUGCACCGAAGCUGCGGCAGCGAACGUAUCACCCAAGACAACUUUACGGAGUUGACGAUUGACGGAGCGAAGCGACGUCAAAGCGUUCAUUAAAGUCGAGUUGGCUUAGGGAUACGUUCGUUGGGUAGGGGAGCGUUCUGUAAGCCUGUGAAGGUGUGUCGUGAGGCAUGCUGGAGGUAUCAGAAGUGCGAAUGCUGACAUAAGUAACGAUAAAGCGGGUGAAAAGCCCGCUCGCCGGAAGACCAAGGGUUCCUGUCCAACGUUAAUCGGGGCAGGGUGAGUCGACCCCUAAGGCGAGGCCGAAAGGCGUAGUCGAUGGGAAACGGGUUAAUAUUCCCGUACUUGGUGUUACUGCGAAGGGGGGACGGAGAAGGCUAUGUUGGCCGGGCGACGGUUGUCCCGGUUUAAGCGUGUAGGUGUGUGUUCCAGGUAAAUCCGGUUCACUUUAACACUGAGGCGUGACGACGAGGCACUACGGUGCUGAAGCAACAAAUGCCCUGCUUCCAGGAAAAGCCUCUAAGCAUCAGGUAACACGAAAUCGUACCCCAAACCGACACAGGUGGUCAGGUAGAGAAUACCAAGGCGCUUGAGAGAACUCGGGUGAAGGAACUAGGCAAAAUGGUGCCGUAACUUCGGGAGAAGGCACGCUGACACGUAGGUGAAGUGAUUUACUCAUGGAGCUGAAGUCAGUCGAAGAUACCAGCUGGCUGCAACUGUUUAUUAAAAACACAGCACUGUGCAAACACGAAAGUGGACGUAUACGGUGUGACGCCUGCCCGGUGCCGGAAGGUUAAUUGAUGGGGUCAGCGCAAGCGAAGCUCCUGAUCGAAGCCCCGGUAAACGGCGGCCGUAACUAUAACGGUCCUAAGGUAGCGAAAUUCCUUGUCGGGUAAGUUCCGACCUGCACGAAUGGCGUAAUGAUGGCCAGGCUGUCUCCACCCGAGACUCAGUGAAAUUGAACUCGCUGUGAAGAUGCAGUGUACCCGCGGCAAGACGGAAAGACCCCGUGAACCUUUACUAUAGCUUGACACUGAACAUUGAGCCUUGAUGUGUAGGAUAGGUGGGAGGCUUUGAAGUGUGGACGCCAGUCUGCAUGGAGCCGACCUUGAAAUACCACCCUUUAAUGUUUGAUGUUCUAACGUGGACCCGUAAUCCGGGUUGCGGACAGUGUCUGGUGGGUAGUUUGACUGGGGCGGUCUCCUCCUAAAGAGUAACGGAGGAGCACGAAGGUUGGCUAAUCCUGGUCGGACAUCAGGAGGUUAGUGCAAUGGCAUAAGCCAGCUUGACUGCGAGCGUGACGGCGCGAGCAGGUGCGAAAGCAGGUCAUAGUGAUCCGGUGGUUCUGAAUGGAAGGGCCAUCGCUCAACGGAUAAAAGGUACUCCGGGGAUAACAGGCUGAUACCGCCCAAGAGUUCAUAUCGACGGCGGUGUUUGGCACCUCGAUGUCGGCUCAUCACAUCCUGGGGCUGAAGUAGGUCCCAAGGGUAUGGCUGUUCGCCAUUUAAAGUGGUACGCGAGCUGGGUUUAGAACGUCGUGAGACAGUUCGGUCCCUAUCUGCCGUGGGCGCUGGAGAACUGAGGGGGGCUGCUCCUAGUACGAGAGGACCGGAGUGGACGCAUCACUGGUGUUCGGGUUGUCAUGCCAAUGGCACUGCCCGGUAGCUAAAUGCGGAAGAGAUAAGUGCUGAAAGCAUCUAAGCACGAAACUUGCCCCGAGAUGAGUUCUCCCUGAGACUUUAGGUCUCCUGAAGGAACGUUGAAGACGACGACGUUGAUAGGCCGGGUGUGUAAGCGCAGCGAUGCGUUGAGCUAACCGGUACUAAUGAACCGUGAGGCUUAACCUU